CUUCUUCUACCUAUAUAUAUAUAUCAUCAACCGUUCACGAACAUCACUUUCGUGAGCUACGAAGUUGGUGGCAUCUACAAAGAAGUGAACUGGGCAAUUUCGAAGAUCGCCUUCGAGCGCUACGAAGAUCGCCAGAUCAGAUGGCAUCAUCAUCCAUACCCAAAACUAACCCAAAACUAAGGGACUAAAACUUAUUGGUGAUAAACGGUUUAUCACCACUGAAAGCAAAGUUUGCGGAUCAUUCCAAAUCGGUCCUUUUGAUGAUGCAGAGGAAGCACAGCGGCUUCGAAAUUGUAUCGUCUGCAAACUGGAAAUUACACACGCUGGACUGAUAUACCAAAAUGAGGAUUUAGCGAAAACUGCGACAUAUGUGUUUUGCGAGGGAUUCAAGCCUUAUGAAUUGAUAGAAAUAAUAAACCAAAAGAAAUUUUACUCAGCAUACAAAUCUUAUAUAAUGAAGGGGGAAAACGUCACAACUACACCGCCAUAUCAUCCUUGCUGACGAAGAAGAGAAGGAGAAAGAGAAUGGUGUACUUGAAGUUAAAAAAAAAAGAGUUUCUUUGUUGAUAAGUAACCCAAUAUUUUUGAUUAGUUUAGAUUUAUUUAUGUUAAGUUUAUCUCUUAAUAUUUUGUUGGUUAGACAUAAGAGAUAAGUUUAAAUCUGGUUCAGUUAUUGUUAUUAGGAUUUUAAUUUAUGUCUAUAUAUAGACGGCUGUAAAUGUGUGAAAAACUAUCCACCAUCGAAAUUUAGUCCAAGAAUAUUUAAUAAAGAUUUAGUUUUAUA
Molecule: long non-coding RNA, 784 nt
Organism: Ananas comosus (pineapple)
Lineage: Eukaryota; Viridiplantae; Streptophyta; Magnoliopsida; Poales; Bromeliaceae
Exons: 2
Source: RefSeq, a predicted model, not a curated record